This is a small nuclear RNA of Schistocerca gregaria, 198 nucleotides long. RefSeq annotates it as U2 spliceosomal RNA. The record is from RefSeq and is a predicted model, not a curated record. The transcript has a single exon. Lineage: Eukaryota; Metazoa; Arthropoda; Insecta; Orthoptera; Acrididae.
AAAGCACCUAGUCAUUAAACAUCACUGGAGUGCAAUAAUUGGUAGGUUAGGUUAGGUUAGGUUUAUCUGAUAAGUCCUGCAUCGCAGGACCAGAAUAUUAAACUCAUUUUUGGCUCAUGACGGAGUGCUAGGGGCUUGCUCCACCUCUGUCGCGGGUUGGCCCGGCAUUGCAGUACCGCCGGGAUCGGCCCACCUAAA